RNAcentral lists this ribosomal RNA (372 nucleotides) under uncultured organism. RNAcentral describes it as "partial 16S ribosomal RNA". It matches the Rfam family "Bacterial small subunit ribosomal RNA", at positions 527 to 896 of the family's 1533-position model. The record is from RNAcentral.
GUAGGUGGCAAGCGUUGUCCGGAAUUAUUGGGCGUAAAGCGCGCGCAGGCGGUUCUUUAAGUCUGAUGUGAAAGCCCACGGCUCAACCGUGGAGGGUCAUUGGAAACUGGAGAACUUGAGUACAGAAGAGGAAAGCGGAAUUUCACGUGUAGCGGUGAAAUGCGUAGAGAUGUGGAGGAACACCAGUGGCGAAGGCGGCUUUCUGGUCUGUAACUGACGCUGAGGCGCGAAAGCGUGGGGAGCAAACAGGAUUAGAUACCCUGGUAGUCCACGCCGUAAACGAUGAGUGCUAAGUGUUAGGGGGUUUCCGCCCCCCUUAGUGCUGCAGCUAACGCAUUAAGCACUCCGCCUGGGAGUACGGCCGCAAGGCUG